GAGGAAUAUUGGUCAAUGGGCGAGAGCCUGAACCAGCCAAGUAGCGUGCAGGAUGACGGCCCUAUGGGUUGUAAACUGCUUUUGUAUGGGGAUAAAGUCAAUCACGUGUGAUCGUUUGCAGGUACCAUACGAAUAAGGACCGGCUAAUUCCGUGCCAGCAGCCGCGGUAAUACGGAAGGUCCGGGCGUUAUCCGGAUUUAUUGGGUUUAAAGGGAGCGUAGGCUGGAGAUUAAGUGUGUUGUGAAAUGUAGACGCUCAACGUCUGACUUGCAGCGCAUACUGGUUUCCUUGAGUACGCACAAUGUUGGCGGAAUUCGUCGUGUAGCGGUGAAAUGCUUAGAUAUGACGAAGAACUCCGAUUGCGAAGGCAGCUGACGGGAGCGCAACUGACGCUGAAGCUCGAAGGUGCGGGUAUCGAACAGGAUUAGAUACCCUGGUAGUCCGCACAGUAAACGAUGGAUGCCCGCUGUUGGUACCUGGUAUCAGCGGCUAAGCGAAAGCAUUAAGCAUCCCACCUGGGGAGUACGCCGGCAACGGUG
Molecule: ribosomal RNA, 539 nt
Filed under: uncultured bacterium
Lineage: Bacteria
Description: bacterial SSU rRNA
Rfam family: Bacterial small subunit ribosomal RNA
Source: RNAcentral